Molecule: long non-coding RNA, 1390 nt
Organism: Megalops cyprinoides (Indo-Pacific tarpon)
Lineage: Eukaryota; Metazoa; Chordata; Actinopteri; Elopiformes; Megalopidae
Exons: 3
Source: RefSeq, a predicted model, not a curated record
GACAAAGCACUUCGGCAACAGAUAGUUGUGUAAAUAGAUAUUGAAAAAUAAAGGCAUCGUGGUUUUUGAAGGUCAUUGUGUACUGAAACGAAACAAAACAAAAACCAUUUCCACGGACAUGUAGCAUUUGCAUUUGUUUGUAUGAUAAGCAGGGGAAUAAAAUACGAUUAAAAUGGACGUGAAAUAAUCUAUAUAUGCUACUUCUGUUUUGAAGUCGCAGUUUCGAUAUUACAAAAAUGUUUAGUAAAAAAAAAUCAGGUGCGGUUUCAAACUCUCCUUUGUCAAGCUCCUACGUGGCGGUUUCAAGCCUCCCCUUCUUGGGAGGCAGACGGACAAAGACUAAAAUAGUAAUGAGUCAAGGAAAAGCAAUGUCUGAAUGUUAAAGCGAAAAUGGGUUUCCACUGAACAUUAUACUCACCAUUUAAACCCCAAUGAAAGAGGCGCAAUUUUGGAAAACCUUUUGACACUGGAUUGCUUCAUUUUUUGCCAGAGGAUCAGCAGGAAAAGGGGGAAAAGGUCUGAAGAUGGCGGUGGGUUGUUGUGGCGAGGAAAAUUAUAGCAACAUGGACGCUGACGGCUGACUGAAUAGAAUGCGGGGAGAUAGGAAUGAUCUUAAAAGCUGCAAUGAAUGACGACUUUCCUCAGCUCUCGUGUUUUUGCCACUUUCGAUUCUUUAUUGAACAUUGCAAACAAACAAGCAUUACAAAAGCAAUGUUGUGGUCCAACGCCAUUCUUCCAAAUCCUGCCAAAUCGCGAGGACGACAGAUUUUGGAUUCAGAUGUUUGCCUCCCAGAAAACAUAUCGAACAUUGCCACGUUCUCUUGUCUUCAAAGACAUUUUUCUUUUCAGAUGACAAGCACUUCCGAUUUAUGAUGGGAGACCCAUGGAUAUGUUGUCAACAUCGAUUACUGAAGGACAUAACAUUUUGGUGUGAUCCUGGGCUAGAGGCCUCGCAACAACCUGUGGAUUGAUGGCAAAUUGGAAGCUGGUGAUUGCGUAAGUGCAGUGUUUCAUUUACCAUGCUCAAGGGGAAAGUGUCUGUUUAAACAGCAGCUUUAGACAAGUGGAAAGCAGACUGUAUGGAAAAAUAACACUACCUUGCCAUCUAACAGAAGCAGUCUACCAGAAUUACAGAAAGAGCUUUUCCUCUAUUAAUGAUUGUCUCUUCUAACAUGAACCACUAUACAUAAAAGGGAGAGAGGCAUUUCAAAUGAACACUACUGUGAUUGUCAUUAAUACAACUGUAUAUAUAUAUGUCUUUUUUUAACUAAUACAACUGUAUUUUGUCUUUUUCAGAAAUAAAGGGUUAAAAUAUAACUGUGGAAAGUUCCAUGCAGAUUUACUUUCUACCAUUUUAUUUGCACACAAAUUUACUCCCAGCUCAGCUUUA